UCAGGCCUAACACAUGCAAGUCGAACGGUAACAGGUUAAGCUGAAGAGUGGCGAACGGGUGAGUAAUGUAUCGGAACGUGCCCAGUCGUGGGGGAUAACUGCUCGAAAGAGCAGCUAAUACCGCAUACGACCUGAGGGUGAAAGCGGGGGAUCGCAAGACCUCGCGCGAUUGGAGCGGCCGAUAUCAGAUUAGGUAGUUGGUGAGGUAAAGGCUCACCAAGCCAACGAUCUGUAGCUGGUCUGAGAGGACGACCAGCCACACUGGG
Molecule: ribosomal RNA, 266 nt
Filed under: uncultured bacterium
Lineage: Bacteria
Description: partial 16S ribosomal RNA
Rfam family: Bacterial small subunit ribosomal RNA
Source: RNAcentral